Phrynosoma platyrhinos (Desert horned lizard) is the source of this 72-nucleotide non-coding RNA. The record is from the annotation of a GenBank genome assembly. Lineage: Eukaryota; Metazoa; Chordata; Lepidosauria; Squamata; Phrynosomatidae.
GCCAGCGUAGUGCAGUGCUCUGAGCAUUAGGCUAAGACCCUGGGGACCAGGGUUCGAUUCCCACCUCAGCCA